CUUGACAGAACUUGGCCAGGGUCUUCUAGGUCCAGCACCCACUCUCCUUAGCAUCCAUUCUGAGCACAGACUUCCUGUGGUAGCUGCAGGUGUUAAUGAGAAGGCUUCCUGCCUGCCCCUACUGCUGUAAGUCACUCUCCACCUGUUCCUAUGGCUUAUUUGCGGUAGACACAACAUGGCUUCUUUUGGGCUGACCUUAUCUCAAACAUAUUUGGGCCAAGAUACUAGCGGUCAACAGCACAACUUUUCAGCUCAUCCCAUAACCUGGUGUGUGUGAGUGUGUGAGUGUGUGUGUGUGUGUGUGUGUGUGUGUGUGUAUACAUUCAUAUGCAUGCAUGCUUGUACAAAUCAUUGGUUAGAGUAGGGACUCUCAAACUGCUAAGUGCUGCUAAGACAUUCAUCACCUAGGGAUCUUGUUAAAAAGCAGAUUCUGAUUGAGGGACCAAGAUUCUGCAUUUUUAGCAAGCUCUCAAGUGAUGCUAAUGCUGCCGGUCUGUGGACAACACAUGUAGCCACUGGGGGCUGGAGAUGAUGCUGCAUGUUACUUGUGUGUGUGCUCCAUCUCCCCCAUGCACCCUGCAUUAUCCAUCAUGAGUGAACAUCCCAAGGCCAAUACACUACCUUUUGGUGAUCAAACUGUGGUCAGUUGUGAAAGGCCACCUUUUGUACAAAUGCCAUGUGAUUAUUCUUUCAAAUCAAAUCAUACCUCUGAGGGCUUCUCAGAUAUAAGAGCUACUUCAGGGAGGGUCUGCCCAUGUCAGGCCCCUUUCAGGACUUUUCAGCAGCAGGUCCACAGAGCCUUGAGCGUUAUUGAUGACUGAGGCCAUCUGACUCUGUAACCUUCCAUUUCCAGUCAAUCCUGAGGAGCAGUUCCCGGAACCACAGCUGCUGGGUCAGGAAGAGUCCUGUCUGUUGUGUCUCCACAUUAUCAAAAGAGACUGUGGGCAUGCACCUCUUUGACUAGGGACUCAACUCCUCAUGGGAAACAUCUUCUGGAAGCAAAGAUGACAGUGGGAAAGAGGCCCUGGAUUUCCUGUCAAAACUAUCUGAGGAUAUUUGAGGUCAUCCAUGUUAUGUUUGCUUAUUCAUUAUGAAUAAGACACAGGUAACCUCCUUUUGAAUAUCAAACUCUGCUUUCUUGAAGGGCUUCCCACACAAGCUAUGCGAGACUGUGAGAGUAUCAAGUGAGCCCUGUGCUUUUCUUCGAUGCUGCUUGGAUAUUUGCUGGUGGGAAAGAGCCCCAGGGAAGCUUGGUCCUGCUUGCAGUGAACUCGAUGUGUUUUUCUGAAUACCAGGAUAUACAUGAUGGGUGAGCUGACCCCAGGACUGCAGCCUUCCCCAGCCAGGGCAUGUGGGCCAAAUCCUUUCAGGAUGCCUAGGCAGUGGGGAGAGCCCAUGAGAUGUUUGGAGAAUAGUCACAUCCUUCAUAAAAACUCCCCUGGGGACAGUCAUGUUUUCAGGGUUCUAUCCCUUUCAAGAAUGCCUCAGGGAUUCAGGCUUGUGAAAGACAAGCUAACUUGGCCCUCUUCCUUUUUUCUCACUGAGGUCACUGUCCUUGGCAUCCACUUCCUCCUUUGGUAGUCCAGCAAGGCUCACUCACUGCCCUAAUGGGGCCUCCUGCUCUGCUGUUUGGCUCUGGGAGAGACUGGAUUCCUUCCUUUGCUGGAGAUCACCGAGAUGGUAAGUAUAACCUAGCUUCUUUUGAUUCUGGAAAAAGGAAGUUGCCCAUACCCCCGCUAUAAGGAAAGAUGCUGUUCUCUGGGUCUAUCAUUUUCAGUGAUGAUGGACGUCUGUGAUGGAGGGGAAGCCCAGCUCCUGCCCUCUGGAUGAUUCUUGCCUUUAUGAUGACCAACUCUUGGAUAGAAUAAGUUCAAGAUGGAUGCCGGGUUCAUACAAGAGCCUCAUCAGGCUCAGCCUGAGGUACGUGAGAGUAGAGUCAGCCAAGGUAAAGCCAGGUGCUAGGGAUGAUAGGCUAUCGCACAUAUAUUCCAUGUUUAGGACACUUCUGAGGUCAGGCUGCUUCAGCUUUCAGCCCUGCUCCCUCUCUUUGCACUAAAUAUCCUAUCUAUGUAAGAUGUCCUCAGAAGGAAGCCCAAAGCCCAGGAAGAAAUGAUGAACCAGAGGUCACAGGCUUCUUUGUUCUGGACUCUCAAUACCCAGGCUACCCCAGUAGGGAAUGAGAGCCCUCUGCCAUAUCUUAGCAGGUAUAACCUCAGCUCCAUGCAGGAGACAUAGUCACUUCUCCAGGCGCAAGGAAGAAGGGCCUAUUUCACAGCCUUUGUCUUAACUGGGAUUGCGUCCUAUGUUCCCCAAAGAUGUACCACCAAUACUUGGGAAGCCAACACAGUGUUUGUAUUUAUUUUUUAGACUUUCUACUUGUCAAGAAAAUUUCCUAAAGAGAGGCCUAAAGGAAGUUCCCAAGGGAGGAGCGUUUUCCCUCAUAGGGGAAAGGAGUUUAGUCAGAGAACACACAUUUAAAUGGACGCCAUCUGGAUAUAGUCCCUUCCUCCCACAUGACUUGUAGGGCAACUCCCACAGGCUCUGCAGAGGCAGCAGAGCCCCUUUAAGUGAUACCCUGCCACAUGAAGACAGUCUUUCCCACCCAGGCUACUUCCUUUACUUUUCUUACAUUUAUUGUUUGAGUUAGGUUUUGUUGUUUUGUUUUUUGUUUUUUUUUUUUUUGUUUGUUUGUUUGUUUUUUGUUUUUUGUUUUGUUCUGUUUUUGUUUUUUAAGAGACAUUCUCUCUGGCCUGGGAUUCACUAUAGAACUCAAGCCUUCCGAGCUGAAUGCAUGCCAUCCUCCUGCCUCAGACUUCAGGAAUGGGCUAUGCUAAGCUUAGACUUUGCUUUCUUUCCUUGUAAAAUAUGUUUGUUGUUGUUGUUUUUAUGGAAGUGCAACCUGUGCGUGCAGGAGUCUGCAGAGGUCAGAAGAGGGCAUUCAGUCCUCUGGAACUAGACUUACAGAUGGUUGGGAGCCAGCCUGGUGGGUUCUGGGAACUGAACCCAGUUCUUCUGAAAGAGCACUAACUCCUGAGCCAUCUCUCCAGCCCCUCCACAGCUACUUUCUUGACAUUCUUGAGUUCUACAAAGGAGUAUCGAUCUUGUUGAGGAAGGACUGUGGACCUUUAACCAGCUCAGACACAGUUGUUUACUUAGCUAGAGAGAAAAGCAAGGAGUUAGGUUCUUACUGAAGGUUUGGGAAGCUGCUCUAAGUGAUGCUCUAAACGGCUUGCUGCUAGAAUCUGGAAAUGGUUCCUGGUCUUACCAAGGUUGCUUCUAGGAAGCAGGUAAACCAUUUGUGAUGGUGUCCUUCUUGAAGUUGAUUCCUUAGAGAUAAGACAGUGGUAGAGCACUGGCAGUGGCCAUAGGUGGUCUCCUGGGAUCACGAGAGCCCAGUGAACCUUCUCUUGAUCCACCUGAGGAUGCCAGUAGCCUGGCAGUGGGACUUCUGUGGUCCCCUCAGGAGCUUGAUGUGUCUGGUGGCUGACUAUGUGCACCACUGAGAAGCCCCAGGCCCCGUUCGCACACCCUGGGGUCUAUAUACCUGCAGAGGACUGCUGACCUGCAGCAAGUGGGCUCCCCUUCCCAUCUUGAAUCCUUCCCAGUGUGGACUCCGAAAGCGAGAAACUUUCAGCUUCAGAGAAAGGGGACAAUGUCAGCAUCAUUGAAAAAAAGGUUGGUGUUUGGAAACCAUUCCCUUGGAGAAAUGGAAGGGGCCCUUUGUCUGUCUUGUCUCUGCUUUUCUGUGGUACUUGAAGAGAAGUUGUUCGUGGUGGAUUCGCUUUACUUGUGACGAAUCAUUCACGGACAACACUUUUUUCAGUACCAAAUGCUACCUCUAAGGAUUUCCUGGACAUGAUGGCAACUUGCAGAAAGAUGGCGUUUCAGUCAAGCUUGUAGAGAAGCCAAGUGUGGAUGGUUGACCACAGACAGUGUGCUUGAGCUAGCUGUAAGUCACCUGGUCUGGUUAUCUGAGCAUCUGAUCCAUCUGUAGGCCUCUCAGUGGGCCGUGCCAACCUUGGUGAGGCAGCUGUGGUUUUGCCACCAGCAUCGCCUUACAAGACUUUGAAAAGAGGUCAUCUUCCAGAAGAGAUGUUGGUGCCAGCACCAUUCAGGGUGUGUGACUGGUUGACCAGAGGGGAGUGCACUCUGUUUACCCUGUGGGCCACCUAGUCACCAACCCUCAGCAUCACUUCCACUCAAAGAAGACUCUCCCGAGAUCCUGCCAAGUUUGGGGAAGUGUCAAUGGACUUGAUAGCUGUGCCAGCUCGGUGGACCAGGAUGAACUGUGGUCUUAGGGUUGUGUGUUUACAUAAGAUGCCGUGAGGCAUCCUUAGUAUCCACUACAUCACUAUUACAGCCUACUUGAAGUGUUGACUUCAGAUUUGGACAUGAUGUUGACUUCCCAUGAGGGACCUGAAGUCCCUCCUCUCCUGGGAAAGCCUGGAAGACAAUGUCAACCUUAAAGCAGUCAUAUAGUUGUCCUGCCAUCACCGCAUCACCACAGAAGCUUCCACAGUGUGUUUCCUUCAAGGAAACUGUGGACUAGCGCCCCCUCUCGUCACGGAGGCCUAACUUCCCCUUCAGGACAGAGGAAGCAGGCGCCUUUUCAAGAGUCGAUACGUUCUUCGCCAGCAUUCAUGUGCGGUCCUUGGAGAGAGGCUGGCCGUGAUGAAUUUGAUUCAGCUAAUCAAGUUACAGGCGACUCUCCUCCUUUAGUGUCAAACUCUGCCUCAGAGGGCUUGUGGAAGCCAAGGGCCCUGUCUACUCUCAGAGGCUGCUCCCAAGCUGCCUUGCUGUGAAGAAGAUGCAGGAGCGCUGUGAGAAGUGCCACCUCCUGGUUCUCGGAGGAAGAUUGUCCACGGUUUGUAAGCGAGUGCCAGCUUCUGGGAUGGACAUGGACCCGUCAUCAUUGGGCAGAGGCCCUUGGGAAGGAGAAGAAUCACCAGCAUUCAUUACUGCCUGAUGCUUGCUAAUGGUGUGACCUUGAAUGAGUCAGCCUGUCAUCUGUCUAUGCCUCCGUUUGUCUGUAUGAGAGUGGUGCUGGCUGCUUCUAAGAGAGCUUUCUAGAGAGUGGUAAUGAGCUGGUGACAGUCAUCUGGAGGUUGUGAAUGGGUACCAGUGCCAGACGAUGCACCCUGAGAGCACCCUUCCAUCUUCUUUAUCCUCACGAGACAUUCCAGGUGCCCAAGGUUUCAUGGUGGCUCUCUUCCCAGAAGGAUCUUUACCUCGAAGGACUUGAGAGGCUGCGUCAUUGUCUUGGAGCUGGUCAGUGGCUCGAGCCCGCUAUAGGACAGGUGAUUGAAGGAAAACACUGGACAGGUCUAAGCCUACUUGCUGACUGUUUCUACUGCUAUUCACCAUCAUCACAACGUGCGGUUCUUAGGAGAAUUUCCAGGAGGUGAUACCAGCUCAGGGAAGAGCCUCUGUUCUACAGGACAGCUUCAGGAGAUGAUAGACGUGCCAUUGAUGGACAAGACAACCAACAUUGGGUACUUGAGGAGAGGUUGUCUGUGAUGAGUUCGCUUUAUUAAUGACGAAUAUAACACAGAUGGCCUGUUUUCAAUACCACCUGUCACUCCUGUCACUUGGCGGUACAUACCAGGUGUCACACCACUGCCCGGCAGGUGACACGGAAUUGGUCCUCAGGCGUGGAUGUGCAGGAGGAGCUCCACCUACAUUCCAUCCCAGCUGCUAGUCCUAGGUUGGGACAGUUCCAUUGGGUACAUCCAUGGGAGAGCUAUGGCUGGGAGCAAGGCCUGAGGCCUGACCUGAAGCCAUCGCUAGGCCUGCAGCUGCUCUGUCCAAGUUUGUUGCUUCUUCUCCCUGGAUCUUCCGCUUAAGACAACAAAGAUGUUCAAGCCUAGAAGAUGGCCCCAAAUGCCCAUCUAAGAGGACCAGGACCAUCCAGGACCCAGUGGAAUCCAGCACCCCUGCCACAUCCCGUGCCCUCCCCCUCUGAGGCCCCAACCAGUAUCCCCUGCUUCUUACCCAUUCCCCAGCCCUCCCCCACAAACUUUGCAUUUCAAAUCUCAGCCCCUGAGCAGCCCUUGCAUAGGAACCUGGGGUCGGGUGGGUAGGCAGACCCAGGGGAUGGAGCAUGGAGGGAAGGAGGGAUUUCUGCUCAUGGCUUUCAAAGUCUCAGUGUAUGAAGCCCUUUGAAUAAUAAACAUAUAUCAUAAAAUGUAAA
Long non-coding RNA from Meriones unguiculatus (Mongolian gerbil), 6190 nucleotides. RefSeq lists it as uncharacterized. Lineage: Eukaryota; Metazoa; Chordata; Mammalia; Rodentia; Muridae. The transcript is spliced from 13 exons. The record is from RefSeq and is a predicted model, not a curated record.